UUGAUAAAUUUUCAAUAAUUUUUGUAGCUUUCGUUGGUAGUUUCAAACUAAAUCUUUUUCCCGUGAUACUAGUGGAAUAUGCAGUACGACAUUAUGCCUGGUCUGUACCGGUACUAAUUGAUGUGUGCAAUGGAUUAAAAACAUUUUCACAAACCCGUAUGAACGAUUUUCAAUGUGCAAAAAAGGAUGUCGCCUAUAAUGUGUACAUAAAAUCUGGGAAACGAAUAUUUUGGUAACAUGAUGACUGAUGCAGGGCAGCAAAAGUAUCAAUUUAGACGAAACAGCUAAAAUCAUAAUUUGAAUUGAAUUAUUCCAAAUCACAUUAGCUUUACGAUUGAUUGAUUUGUAAUAGCUAUUCCAUAUAAUUGAAAUGGAUAUAGCUUGCUCAAUAUGCGGUUCAUACUUUAAGCAGGUGGAGAUUUAUAAAAAUCAUAUUAAAACAAAUCGCUGUACUUAAACAUCACUUUGAACGUGCAACUGGGAUAAAUCACACACGCUUUAUUGACAAUUAUUUUUCUAAGCGGAAAAGACUCAUUCAAGUUUCGAGAACGUACAUCUAUAAAAAAAACUGCACAUUAACGACUGCGACAGACUUGUAAAUUUUUGUUGGCGUUUCAAAAAUAUUGAAGGAAGAUUUUUCUACAGUCUUGAUCAGUUUUGGUAAUGAUGCUACCAUCUUGGAUACAACUACUACGUCUCCUAUUCUCGCAUUAGUUGAUAUGAAAUAUAGUACGUCAAAAGUCGAAUAUUCUAACUUUCGAAAUUCUGUUACAGGUCGCGAUAUGUACUACAAAUAUCCAGCUGUAGUUUCAAAAACUCUAGAGUUUUUUCAGUUAUUUUCACUGAAACUUAAGCCUGAUAAAGGCACCAGAUCAGUUGCAACAAUAGUAGGUAAACAACAACAACUGGUUCGAACACUUUUAACCAAACUAGCUAAAAUUCAAUAGAUUUUUUCUUUUACUUGUAUUCAAACCAAAACUUGCCAUUUAUAAUGGGACGUGGGACGUUUUUGUUAACAUAAUUAAAAAAGUCUUCGUCGGUCGACUUUUCUUCAACGCAACGUCAAAAAUGUUUAAUUCUACUACUUUAUAUCAGAAGACGAAAUCGUUUCAGUAAGUAACUAGAAUGUCAAAGCUUUUCUUUAACAAAAGAAUUAAAU
Molecule: long non-coding RNA, 1159 nt
Organism: Malaya genurostris
Lineage: Eukaryota; Metazoa; Arthropoda; Insecta; Diptera; Culicidae
Exons: 3
Source: RefSeq, a predicted model, not a curated record